GAUGAACGCUGGCUACAGGCUUAACACAUGCAAGUCGAGGGGAAACGACGGGGAAGCUUGCUUCCCCGGGCGUCGACCGGCGCACGGGUGAGUAACGCGUAUCCAACCUGCCUCUGACUGAGGGAUAACCCGUCGAAAGUCGGCCUAAUACCGCAUGGCAUCGUCUUCGGGCAUCCAACGACGAUUAAAGAUUUCAUCGGUCAGGGAUGGGGAUGCGUCUGAUUAGCUUGUUGGCGGGGUAACGGCCCACCAAGGCUACGAUCAGUAGGGGUUCUGAGAGGAAGGUCCCCGACAGUGGAACUGACACACGGUGCAAAGUCCUACGGGAGGCAGCAGUGAGGAAGAUUGGUCAAUGGGCGGGAGCCUGAUCCAGCCAAGUAGGGUGCAGGAUGACGGCCCUAUGGGUUGUAAACUGCUUUUAUGCGGGGAUAAAGUGAGGGACGUGUCCUUCAUUGCAGGUACCGCAUGAAUAAGGACCGGCUAAGUCCGUG
This 491-nucleotide ribosomal RNA is filed under the name uncultured bacterium. Its description in RNAcentral is "partial 16S ribosomal RNA". It matches the Rfam family "Bacterial small subunit ribosomal RNA", at positions 28 to 507 of the family's 1533-position model. The record is from RNAcentral.